This 249-nucleotide ribosomal RNA is filed under the name uncultured bacterium. Its description in RNAcentral is "partial 16S ribosomal RNA". It matches the Rfam family "Bacterial small subunit ribosomal RNA", at positions 524 to 776 of the family's 1533-position model. The record is from RNAcentral.
UACGAAGGGGGCUAGCGUUGCUCGGAAUUACUGGGCGUAAAGGCGCGUAGGCGGAUAGUUUAGUCAGAGGUGAAAGCCCAGGGCUCAACCUUGGAAUUGCCUUGAUACUGGCUAUCUUGAGUUCGGGAGAGGUGAGUGGAAUGCCGAGUGUAGAGGUGAAAUUCGUAGAUAUUCGGCGGAACACCAGUGGCGAAGGCGACUCACUGGCCCGAUACUGACGCUGAGGCGCGAAAGCGUGGGAGCAACAGG